GAUAGGGAGCGCGAGCGUGAAGAAACCGGCCGCCAUCUUACGGUGCUCACAACAGUCGCCGCAGCGAUCAUGGCAACUUCUUGCAAUUACGGUCGUACCAACCGUACUGGCAAGGUUACAGGGCCUAAAUUUAUACAGGUUUCGUCAUGAGGGCUACCCAGUGAAUAAUCUGUGUAGUGUGAUACGGCUGGGUGUACAGGUUACUUCACAGCUGCCUCGACAUACUCAAGAAAUGGGUGCAGAACCUGCGUAAUGCCCACAAACUUUGAUUACCACAGCACCUCCAAAAAAGUAUGUGUCACAUGGGAUUUUUAAACGUAUUCACAGUAUAUAAUACCUUGUAUUAACUGUUGUAGAUCUAAGCCGUCUCUACAGUACACUCUCAGAAAUUAAAACCGUGAGAACUGUGAUAAUUGUUUCAGUUAAUAGGGCAUGCACAUAUAUGCUAUAAGAAGAAAAUUAUUUCUUGAGAAUGCACUUCUCUGGCUACUGGUGUUGUUUACAUCUACUGUUGAUCACAUUCAUUUAUCACGUAUUAUAUUCUUAUAUAUACUAUUAUAUUAACACAUAUUUGAUCACAUUAAAUUCAAAAUUCAUCAUAUAUAAGAAAAUACCAGGAGGGAAGUUGCUAUUCAUUGCUCAUUCUAACCUA
Ornithodoros turicata is the source of this 652-nucleotide long non-coding RNA. RefSeq lists it as uncharacterized. Lineage: Eukaryota; Metazoa; Arthropoda; Arachnida; Ixodida; Argasidae. The transcript has 3 exons. The record is from RefSeq and is a predicted model, not a curated record.